GACUCACAGUCCAGAUGCCUGAGAUUGGCAGGGCUGGGCUGGGAGCACCCGAGUCCUCCAGCUGUUACCUGCUGCCUGCCAAGGGGCAGAAGUAGGAUAGAACUGGAUCCCAGCACACUGCUCUGGGCUGCUGGUGCCUCCGAUCCUGACGUGCUACACCACAGAGUCCACCCCUGGUCUUCAGACAGUGAAUGAAUUGGUUGGGCUAGCAGACUGGAGGCAUAGCAACUGGUCUGUAUGUAUGUGGAGUCAAAUGUGGCCAUAAACAUAGCAUCAGGAAUCUCACUGUUUCCUCAAAGAUACAAUCUUAAGAACAAAGCAUAGAAGAAUGCAGAAAAGAGACUGGAUGCGGUUCCGACUGGCCGGCUGGGGUCUGCCCUGGCACUGGCUACUGCUGGUAUCUGUCCCCCUUUCCUUCUUCCCUUGCUACUUCACGCUCUCCUUGUUUUUCCUAGCCCUCCCCACGCCCAGUGAAAGGAAGAUGGGGAAAAAUAAGAAUCUUUCUGUUUUUAUGUAAGACUGAUUGA
This is a long non-coding RNA of Ochotona curzoniae (black-lipped pika), 527 nucleotides long. RefSeq lists it as uncharacterized. Lineage: Eukaryota; Metazoa; Chordata; Mammalia; Lagomorpha; Ochotonidae. The transcript is spliced from 2 exons. The record is from RefSeq and is a predicted model, not a curated record.